GAGGCGCAUCUACAAUGCAGUCGAGCGGCCACAUGGGAGCUUGCUCCCGGAGGUGAGCGGCGGACGGGUGAGUAAUGCCUGGGUAUCCUGCCGGUAAUACUGGAAUACCUCCGGGAAAUCGGGGUUAAUACCGGAUGCUUGUUUGGACCACAUGGGUGGAUUUUAAAAGCCGGCUUUUACCUACCACUUUAGGAUGGACCCGCGGCGCAUUGGCUAGUUGGUGAGGUAACGGCUCACCCCGGCGACGAUGCGUAGCCGACCUGAGAGGGUGAUCGGCCGCACUGGGACUGAGACUCCGACCAGACUCCUACGGGAGGCAUCUUGAAGGAAUCUUCCGCACUGGACCAAAGUCUGACGGAUCAGCGCCGCGUGAGUGAUGAAUGUUUUCCGAUCGUAAAACUCUGUUGUGAGUGAUGAACAAGUACCGUUCGAAUAGGGCGGUCCCUUGACGGUACCUAACCAUAAAGUCACGGCUAACUACGUGCCAGCACCCGCGGUGAUACCUAUGAGGCAAGCUUUGGCCGGAAUUAUUGGCCGUAGCGCUCGCGCAAGUUGUUUCUUAAAUCUGAUGUGAAAACCCCCGGCUCACCUCCAAAGGUUCAUUGACUAACUGGCGAACUAGAGUGCUGAAAAUGACAGUGUAUUGCACAUGUAGCGGUGAAAUGCGUGAGAUCUGGAGGAAACCAGUCGCGAAGGCUACUCUCUGGCUCUGUAACUGACACUGAGGCGGAACAACCUGGGGUGGAAACACUAUUAGAUACCCUGGUUAGUCACUGCGACUACGAUGAUGCUUACUGUUAGACUAUUGCGCCAUUAAUGCUGCAGCAACCACUAGCACUCCGCCUGGGAAGUCGGUCUAAAACUGAAUACUCAAGACUGACAGGGUCGACAAGUCGGUGAGCUUGAUAAUCAGAGCCUCGCUGAGAA
RNAcentral lists this ribosomal RNA (927 nucleotides) under Bacillus paralicheniformis. Its description in RNAcentral is "bacterial SSU rRNA". It matches the Rfam family "Bacterial small subunit ribosomal RNA", at positions 39 to 968 of the family's 1533-position model. The record is from RNAcentral. Lineage: Bacteria; Bacillati; Bacillota; Bacilli; Caryophanales; Bacillaceae.